AGAGUUUGAUCCUGGCUCAGGAUGAACGCUGGCGGCGUGCCUAAGGCAUGCAAGUCGAACGAGUGUAGCAAUACACAAGUGGCAAACGGGAGAGUAACACAUUGGUAACCUACCUUCGACUCAGGUACAACUCGGCGAAAGCUGAGCUAAUUCCUGAUGGUCAUGAGGGGUCAUAUGACAUUCUCAUGUAAAGUUUUUUCGGUCGAAGAGGGGCCUAUGGUCUAUCAGCUUGUUGGUGAGGUAAUGGCUCACCAAGGCUCUGACGGAUAGCGGGUGUGAGAGCAUGACCCGCCCCACUGGGACUGAGACACUGCCCAGACACCUACGGGUGGCUGCAGUUAAGAAUCUUCCCCAAUGGACGAAAGUCUGAGGGAGCGACGCCGGG
This 385-nucleotide ribosomal RNA is filed under the name uncultured bacterium. RNAcentral describes it as "bacterial SSU rRNA". It matches the Rfam family "Bacterial small subunit ribosomal RNA", at positions 8 to 401 of the family's 1533-position model. The record is from RNAcentral.